This 150-nucleotide unclassified non-coding RNA is filed under the name uncultured fungus. RNAcentral's name for it is "sequence contains ITS1, 5.8S rRNA gene". Lineage: Eukaryota; Fungi. The record is from RNAcentral.
AUUUUUUGUUAUAAUAACUUGACUUUCUUUACAUAUUGUUUGUAAAAUCAACACAGAGUGUCAAUCAAACGGUUCACAGGUGUAAAUGGAUAUAGUUUUAAGCCACUAGGGCAAUCACUAAUGAUCCUUCCGCAGGUUCACCUACGGAAA